ACUGGGCGUAAAGCGCGCGUAGGUGGUUCGUUAAGUUGGAUGUGAAAGCCCCGGGCUCAACCUGGGAACUGCAUCCAAAACUGGCGAGCUAGAGUAUGGCAGAGGGUGGUGGAAUUUCCUGUGUAGCGGUGAAAUGCGUAGAUAUAGGAAGGAACACCAGUGGCGAAGGCGACCACCUGGGCUAAUACUGACACUGAGGUGCGAAAGCGUGGGGAGCAAACAGGAUUAGAUACCCUAGUA
This 240-nucleotide ribosomal RNA is filed under the name uncultured Pseudomonas sp. Its description in RNAcentral is "partial 16S ribosomal RNA". It matches the Rfam family "Bacterial small subunit ribosomal RNA", at positions 553 to 792 of the family's 1533-position model. Lineage: Bacteria; Pseudomonadati; Pseudomonadota; Gammaproteobacteria; Pseudomonadales; Pseudomonadaceae. The record is from RNAcentral.